This is a non-coding RNA of Jatropha curcas, 856 nucleotides long. NCBI's taxonomy places the organism in Eukaryota, Viridiplantae, Streptophyta, Magnoliopsida, Malpighiales, Euphorbiaceae. The record is from RefSeq and is a predicted model, not a curated record.
CUCACCAGCUCACCUCCACUCCAUCGGCACUGCCACCACCGCGCCACCUCCUCCUCUUCUUCUUCCUUUCUUUUCUUUUGUUCCUUUCCUUUCUUUCUUUCUUCCUUUCCUCUUCAUUGCGCCUGCGUUUUUGGCGAGACAGCAGCAGAUUGCGCGACACCUCUAGUCGAUCGGGCCUCCUCGCGCGCCACCUCGCUGCAGCUUGACGUCGCAGCAGCUCUGCCAGUAGCUCCGCCCUCUGUUACGCCAGUUGCAGCUGCACACAGUUCCAGCGCAACACCAGACCGCGCCACCGCUUGCUCCACCACCAGAUCGCGCCAUCGCCUAGCCCUGCCGCCACUCCAGCGUGCCUCCGACCACCAGGAACGAGCCUGUCCAGCUUCUUCGCGUCAUCUCCGCCUGCCUUUGCCAUUGUCAGUCGGACCCGGCCACUUCCGGCGCGCGUAGCUCCGAUCCAGCGCGAGCAAACUCCCGAUCUAGCAACAAAUUCGAGAAAAGAUUAUAUUUUGGGAUCGCCCGGGUCCAUCUAGUGCUCCUCCAGGACAGAAUCAAAGCUAGAACUUCGCUCUCCACCACUGUACUAGGAAGCAGCUGAUUCGGCUGAAGCUCUGCAAUCUUCUCUGCAGAGUUACAAAUGUAAACUUUAUAUUCAUGUUAUUUAAUUUUGGAUGUAUAAAUUAUUCUGUUAUCAGAUUAUUUUUGGACUCCGCAUUAUAGGGUUGUGUAUUAAUAUUGGACUUAUUGUUAGCACUACACUAUAAAUUAAAUGUUAUGUAAUUAGCUGCAGGUGAACCAGUAAACCCAUAACGUGAUUAUAAUUUAUUGUGAAUAGGCCCUGGUUAUACAUUAUGUGUUA